CUUCUGAUGACCAGUGGAGACGUCAGCUCAUCAGAAGUCAGAAGCCAGUAUUGUCUCAAAGACAUGCACCAGCACCCAUGGAAACAGCAGCACUUUGCUGGCUACAUCAGAACCCUUUAUGGGCAAUCUGCGUCUGUCUGAGACUCUUUCUGAGAAACUUGAAAGGUCUUGCUCACUCCCUCUCCUUUAUUUUGCCUUGCUACUUUUUAAAAGGAGGGAUGCUUUUGCUAUUUUCUUGCCUGUAAAUGUUCUUGGGCAGAAAUAAGUGAGGAUUCUUGCACAAGUUCUGUUUCUCCAGAGAAGAUCAGGUCUGCAGUCUCAAUUCAUUCCUGGUAGCAGCAGCCUUCUUUCCCUGGGAACUCUGGGUUAGCAGGCUUGGACCUGCUGCUUCCAGCAACCACACUCCGACUGGCUGGCUGGCUGGUCUACAGGUAGCCUCACAUGUCACGGCCUGCAGAGUUGGAGUUGACCUCAGAGCAAAAUGCCAGGAAGUGUCAGCUGUUGAAUUUAUCGAGCAGUAAGAGCUCACCCAGCGGCGCCGAGAAAUAGUUCAUGUGACCUUUUUCCAGACUACUGCAGACUGGCUCCCAGAACAAAUCAUGUCAUCAAUUAGUCUUUCUCCAAAUUCCUAUAUCAGCUGCUAAGGAAGAAAAACAGCAAGCUCAUAGGAGGAUUCAGGGGACAGGAGCAACUGCUGAGUCAGAACCACAGCACAGCAUCGGGCGGCUUCCAAGAGGAGGCAUCAGAAGUCCUCCUUCUGCUCCAGUUAUUAGCCUUCUCUUGACAUCCCCCAACAGGGAGAGGUGGGGAGCACAUAAAAGCCAGGGGAAGUGGCUCCGUGAUUGUGAUUGCUUCAGCUGCAGUAGGAAGAGCUCCUUAAGUAGCGAGGUAACCCACUAUCCUGUCCAAACCCACCUGACUCAUCGCAGACUGUGUUCACUGUUCAUUUUGUUUUCCAGAGAAGGAAUGCAGCCCCGUGGGGGAGAAGGAACCUGGGUGAGAACUCAGUUAACAGACCCACCUUUGCCUUUCUCAUCUGUAAAAUGGAAGUAGUUAUAUCUAGAAUCCUCCGGAAGAUUAAAUUGUAGGACAAGUGCACUCAGCGUCUGUCCACAGAUGGAAGGCUUGACUGAGGAACAAGCGAGCCGCUUGGAGGCUUAGUAGUAAUGUCAUUGUCAGAAUGUCUCCCUUUAUCUUUCCUAAAUCUGCGGGUUAAGCCUCUGGCUCAGGUUCACUCAUGGCUGCCAAUGUAUCCCCCGACAGGAUCUGUUUCUGGUUUCAAAGUUCUGAUCACAAUAAGAAAGACAUGCAUAUGAAAGGUUUCCCCCAAAUCUUAACUCUGAAGAGGGGCAGGGUUUAUUAAUAUCCACCAGGAAUCUCAGGAGUCACCUCAUCAACCAGAAAGCAGAGGUUCAAGUGGAGAUGUUGGCACUAUACAUUAAGCACAUGGGCUGUGGCCAAGCAUGGUGGCAUACAGCUGUAAUCUCAGUGGCUUGAGAAGGUGAGGCAGGAGGAUCGCAAGUUCAAAGCCAGCCUCAGCAACUUGGUGAGGCCCUAAGCAACUCGGCGAGACCCUGUCUCUAAAUAAAAUAUAAGAAGGGGCUGAGGAUGUGGUUUAGUGCCCCUUGGUUCAAUCCCUGGUACCAAAAAACAAAAAACAUGAGCUUUUGUUUUCUAAUCUUCAAAAUCAGCACAGUAACCUCAGAGUGUUUCCAUCAGGGCUAUGUGAGAUGGCGGAGCAGCCUCUAAUCAGUUCCCUCUAUCAGAAUGCUUACUUGUCCAAUUGAUGAACUGUCAUCUAUCAUCAAGCCCGGGGGUAAUGGAAGGGGUGACUCCUGGGCAUGGCUGUUCAUAUUUUAUGUAGACCACUCCCCCACUCUCCGUGUGCAUGCAGACACCACUGGACAGCUGUCAGGCCUAGUGAUGGACACUUCAAUAGUACAGACCCCUUCAGGACAGACCACACCCAGAGAAGUAGGCUUGGCCUGCUUGAAUAAGCAACUUUGGGGUCCUGGAACCUACAGUUCAGUCUGGGAGGACACCCAGUAAAGCAGUCAGGCAGGGGCUUCUCUUGCCUGGGGUACUGGCUAGAGUAUGCAGUGAGAUAACAUCUAAAUCACCCCCUUUCACAAGGGCCAAAAUAGAUCUCCAAAACUUCCAAAUCCCCAGGAUCUUGAAGUGGAUCCUAAUGGGGACACUUCGUACAGCUGAAACACUCCAUUAAGUCAUUCACUAGCCAGUCCUUGGUCCAGGACUGUUGGGCUCCUCCCAAAGGAGCCUGCUUAAGGCUCUGGUUGUCUCUGUUCUUCCCAAAGCCAUUCAGGGCAGGAAGCCAAAAAGCACUAUGGAAAAGCAGAUGUAUAAUGUUUUGAACUAAGUAAGCCUCCGUUACCCCAUCAUCCUGGGUUUCUGCAAAGUGAGGAAGUGCCUUUCAGGAGGAGGUAACCUCAUCCCUUCCACGGGCUGGCCACAGGCAGGGCCUGAUUCCCCUAAGACUUUCCUCCUUAUAUAAGCCAAGUAUGUGUUCAGAAAUGUUGAGAGGUGGUGGGGUAUGGCUUCCUGGUACAGCACUCACCUAUCGUGCUUGAAGCCCUGGGUUUAAUUCCUGGCACCAGCCACCCCACCACCACCAAAAAAAAAGCUGGGGGAGGGGCUCUCGUUUAAAAAAAAUAACAACUACUGCCCUAGGUGGUUUGCUCUCUUAGAAUUGAACCAAUCACUGAGACUCUUAGUAAAUAUGUUACAAUUAAGGAAUUGGGAAUUGGGGAUGCUGUUUAACUCUUAGUUGGACAGUCAGGCAUUGCAAUAGGCUCACCAGGGGAAGUACAGUGAUUUCUAAAGUCUAAAACUACAUGCCUAUAAUUUAGGUCUUGUUUCCAGAAAAAUUUACCCCUCUCUUCCCUAUUGUUAAUUAUUUCAUCUUUUCCUGAAGUGGGGGAACAAUAAUAGCUGUGAGUACUUUAUCAAUAGGAAGGAACUGCCUACCAUCCUAGCAAUUUGGGAGGUUGAGGCAGGAGGACUACAAGUCCAAGGCCAGGCUCAGCGAUUUAGUGAGACACUCAGCAACCUUGUGAGACCAUGGCUCAAUAAAAUAAAAAAGGCCUGUGGAUGCUGCUCAGUGGUAAAGCACCCCUGGGUUCAAUCCCCAGCACCAAAAUAAAAUAAAAUUAAAAAGUUAGAAACUAUGAGAUUUUCUGAGAAGCUUUCCCCCACGUCCAGCAUCGCCUUCUCACGGAGUAACAGCAUUUCGUUAGGGAGAUGUUGCUAUUGACAAAUUGCUGUUGUAGUUAAUCGUUGCCCAUUUUAGUAACUCUCAGCCAUUCAUCUAAGAUGGCCAGCAGUGUUAAAACAAACAACAAACGGAAGUUCUCCCUACUUGACUCCCAGUCCACCUGUCUCCCCUCCUUCCUAUCCCUUGCUUUUUGGGUCUCCUACCCUUGGCUGGUCAAGGUUCCUGGCCUCAGGUUCUAUGGUAUCCUUGCUUCCUUGUACCAUGGCACUUGUCACACUUGAUUGCAACAGUCCCCUCCCUUGCCUACCAUGCCAAAAUGUGCCUCCUUCAAGGCAAGGGACAUGCUUAACUUACUCUGUAUCUUUAGCAUUUAAUGUGACAUAUAAUAAAGGCUUGAUAAGUGAACAUAAUUUCAAUGAGGAUACACUAGCUACCUUUACUAACCCUUUUCCUGAGUUUCUAAGGAUGAGAAGCUGGAUUUGCAGGAUGCCAGGACCCUAGCAACCCAGGCAGUGACUAGAGUGGGGACUUUUGUCAGAACCUACUUGUCAGAACCAGG
This 3791-nucleotide long non-coding RNA is filed under the name Marmota monax (woodchuck). The record is from RNAcentral. Lineage: Eukaryota; Metazoa; Chordata; Mammalia; Rodentia; Sciuridae.